UAUGGAGUCCUGACAAAUGGAGCUCAACGAUGCAGUGUAAGAUGAACCAAUACAUGUGUGUUGUUAGCAAAGAAUUAUCCCUUUCACGUGCUUGCUUUAACAGAACAUCCUUCCUCCUGUGACUGCUUCAGUGAAACGUUCCUUCAUGAGUCUGCUUUAGUCUUUCACCUAUGUCUGCUUCAGGAAAACACUCCUUCAUGAGUUUGUCCCAGCAAAACACCUUCCAACACAACUGACUCUCCAAAGAACCGUUGCCACUUCAGACUUGGCUGCAGGUGCCCUCUGAGGUAUCUUAUUGGCCCUUUUAUAAUAUUUGGAGAGAGUAGUGUGUACCACAGAAAAAUAUUUUGUGUUUUUUAAAUAGAUUUUAUCUGACUGAUCUUUUCUGUUUACAGUUUUUUUUUUUCUAUUUUAAAGAGCACUCUAUCUUGAUCUUUUGAUUCAAUCUAUUAUGAGUGUUUUCUUGUUUUUUGAGUGUUCCUUUGUUUGAUUGUUUUGGAAACAGGGUCUUACUACAUUGCCCUGUAGGCAGUUAACUGUGUAGACUGGAUAGGCCUUGAGGUCAGAUUCACCUGCCUUUGUGUCCUAAGGGAUGCAAUCUAAGGUGUGUGUCAGCACUCCUGUCUUUAAGUGUUCCUUUAAACAUGAUUUUUCCACACCCUCUAGUAUUUAUUCACAAUUUAAGACUGUUUACCCAGUGAUGGUAGUUUUUUCUUUCUCUUUUCUAUUUUGAGUAUUUUUCUUUUUUUUCUUUUCUUCGAGACAGGGUUUCUCUGUGUAGCCCUGGCUGUCCUGGAACUCACUCUGUAGACCAGGCUGGCCUCGAACUCAGAAAUCGGCCUGUCUCUGCCUCCCAAGUGCUGGGAUUAAAGGCGUGCGCCACCACCACCCAUCUAUUUUGAGUAUUUUUAUGAUUGAUCCUUUUCUUUUGUAAAUCGAUUGUUACUCUGAUUGCCUUAGAUAUGGACCUGGUGUAUUGACCAGCUCUUCUCAUAGCAGUUCUAUAUUACAAACCAGUUUUACUGAGUAGCUUAUAAUAAUAUACUAAUUUUCAUACUAGAUCUGCAGGUCACUUAGAGUUUUCUUGAUCCAGGAUGGCUUUGGCCAGAUAGAUCUGCUUUCAUUUUUGGGUUGGCUGGGCCUGCCUCCAUGAGUGUAGGUAUGCUUAUGAUUGCCUUAUUCUGAAGCUUAGCAUGAAGAGACUAAAGCUUCCUUCAUGGUUAUCACCAGAGCACAGGCCAAACUACUAAAUUCAUACUGAGACUCUAUUGCAUUAGACUGUGACCAUCCUGUGAAUCAAAUCAAGCCAUGUGACCAGGCCUUGCAAAGUUAUAUGAUAAAAGGUAUGGAUGAAAAUUUUAAAGCAACUGAAAAUGAUCUACAACUAUAUUUGGUCAAAGGCUAUAAGAAAACAUCUAUCAAAUUAAAAAUAAGUAACAAGCUAGUCAUGUGCUUCAUGUCUAUAUUAUCAAGUUCCAGGCAGGCCUAGACUACAUAGUGAGUUCUAGGCUAGCCUGGGCUGAACAGGUGGGUGAGAGAUAAAGCAGCUCAUGUCUUCUUUCCUAUGCAGAGUCUACUCGCACACAGAAAAGGACUGGGCGAGCAGGAGAGUGACCAACAGUAGGAGGAGAGGAAGGAUGUGAGCGAGUCAGGCAGGUUGGAUAUGACUAAGGUGUAUCCUUAGUGUAUAUCUUGUGUGAGAAUGAUAGACUUGAAAUUCAUCCAGCGCUAACUAGAAGUAUUAAUAAACAAGACAUAGUAAUUAAAACAAAAAACAAAACCAAAAACUUCUUUUUCUAGUAUUUCCAAAUAACCUCCAGAACUCUUUCCUACAGAAGGCGUUUUGGAAAAACAUAGUGCUGUAUGUACCAUGCAGAUUGUUGGCAUGCGUCUGUGCUUACCUGAGGUCGGAUGUUUCAUGGAAUGUGCCCUUUGCCAUCCAGGGAAUCCCAGAGAUUUGCCCUUUACUCUUAGUUUUCCUUUCCUUUCACCCUUCUUUUUUUCCUUACUCUUUUUGGAAAGAUAAAAUCCUUUAUUGUCUCUGACUCUCUGUUUGUUUCUCCGAGUCUGUUAAAGUUACUCUGUCACUUUAUACAGACUGUUUUAACACAGUAGAGUAGGUACUUUUCUGGGUUUAACAAAUAGUUGGCAUGUAUGGAACUAUUUCCAAUUGAUCAUUUUAGUAAAAUUGAUUCUGAAGUAUUUGGAAAGAUUUCUGUUUGCUGUAACUGUUUCCUUUGCAUUGAACAAGUCAGUUGUGAUGCACCUCUUUAAUCCCAGCACUUGGCAGGUGAAUAUCUGAGUUCAAGGCCCGCAUGGUCAGCAUAAUGACUUCCAGGACAGCCAGGCCUUUUUUUUUCUCACUAUAGUGAGACCCCAUC
RNAcentral lists this long non-coding RNA (2381 nucleotides) under Mus musculus (house mouse). RNAcentral's name for it is "long non-coding RNA chr2:92236555-92238936". The record is from RNAcentral. Lineage: Eukaryota; Metazoa; Chordata; Mammalia; Rodentia; Muridae.